This 818-nucleotide ribosomal RNA is filed under the name uncultured bacterium. RNAcentral's name for it is "bacterial SSU rRNA". It matches the Rfam family "Bacterial small subunit ribosomal RNA", at positions 9 to 873 of the family's 1533-position model. The record is from RNAcentral.
AGAGUUUGAUCAUGGCUCAGAACGAACGCUGGCGGCAGGCUUAACACAUGCAAGUCGAACGGUGUAGCAAUACACAGUGGCGCACGGGUGAGUAAUACUUGGGAACGUGCCCUUCAGUCUGGGAUAACCACGGGAAACUGUGGCUAAUACCGGAUACUCCCUCCGGGGGAAAGUUUUUCGCUGAAGGAUCGGCCCAAGCCAGAUUAUGGUAGUUGGUGGGGUAAAAGCCUACCAAGCCUACGAUCUGUAGCUGGUCUGAGAGGACGACCAGCCACACUGGAACUGAGACACGGUCCAGACUCCUACGGGAGGCAGCAGUGGGGAAUAUUGGACAAUGGGGGAAACCCUGAUCCAGCCAUGCCGCGUGAAUGAUGAAGGCCUUAGGGUUGUAAAGUUCUUUUGUCAGGGAAGAUGAUGACGGUACCUGAAGAAUAAGCACCGGCUAACUUCGUGCCAGCAGCCGCGGUAAUACGAAGGGUGCUAGCGUUGUUCGGAAUCACUGGGCGUAAAGCGCGCGUAGGCGGCUUCUCAAGUCAGGGGUGAAAUCCUGAGGCUCAACCUCAGAAUUGCCUUUGAAACUGUGAAGCUAGAGUGUCGGAGGGGAUAGCGGAAUUUCCAAUGUAGCGGUGAAAUGCGUAGAUAUUGGAAGGAACACCGGUGGCGAAGGCGGCUAUCUGGACGACAACUGACGCUGAGGCGCGAAAGCGCGGGGAUCAAACAGGAUUAGAUACCCUGGUAGUCCGCGCUGUAAACGAUGGAUGCUAGCUGUUGGGGACAUUGUUCUCAGUAGCGUAGCUAACGCGUUAAGCAUCCCGCCU